This 558-nucleotide ribosomal RNA is filed under the name Wickerhamiella sorbophila. Its description in RNAcentral is "eukaryotic LSU rRNA". It matches the Rfam family "Eukaryotic large subunit ribosomal RNA", at positions 62 to 648 of the family's 3401-position model. The record is from RNAcentral. Lineage: Eukaryota; Fungi; Ascomycota; Dipodascomycetes; Dipodascales; Trichomonascaceae.
AANNCAACAGGGAUUGCCUUAGUAGCGGCGAGUGAAGCGGCAAUAGCUCAAAUUUGAAAUCUGCCAACAGGCCGAGUUGUAAUUUGAAGAAAGCAAUUCUGGAUGUGUCUUUGCUCAAGUUCCUUGGAAUAGGACAUCAUGGAGGGUGAGAAUCCCGUGAUGCGAAGGUAGCACGUCUAUGUAGAAUGUUUUCGACGAGUCGAGUUGUUUGGGAAUGCAGCUCAAAGUGGGUGGUAAAUUCCAUCUAAAGCUAAAUAUUGGCGAGAGACCGAUAGCGAACAAGUACUGUGAAGGAAAGAUGAAAAGAACUUUGAAAAGAGAGUGAAAAAGUACGUGAAAUUGUUGAAAUGGAAGGGCUUGAGAUUAGACAUGGUGUUUAGUGUUCCACUUUCUUUCGGGAAUGUGUACUCGCUUUACACCGGGCCAGCAUCAGUUUUGAUGGGAGGAUAAAUGGUAUUGAAUGUGGCUGCUUGCAGUGUUAUAGCUUUAUCAAAUACUUCCAAUCGGGACUGAGGACCGCGCAUUUGCUAGGAUGCUGGCGUAAUGAUCUUAAGCCAC